AUGUGCAUUGCCAAGUCGAAAGGAAGUCUUGGUUUUAGGGAUUUGGAGACGUUCAAUGAUGCGAUGCUAGCCAAACAAGCAUAGAGGCUCCUUGAGAACCCUAAUAUCUUGUGUGCUAGAGUGCUUAAGGGUAGAUAUUACCCCAGUGAAGAGUUCCUCAUGGUGGAGUGUCCAAAGGGUGCAUCCAAAACAUGGCAGGCUAUAAUAAAAGGAAGAAAGAUGCUCAAGUGGAUAUGGAACACCGACCGAUGUUUGGAAUGGUCAAUGGAUCGAAGGAAAAAUCUCGAUGUAGCCAAUGGGCGCCCUUGCUGCAAACUCGGUACAACUGGUCUCAGACUUAAUUAA
RNAcentral lists this ribosomal RNA (345 nucleotides) under Triticum aestivum (bread wheat). Its description in RNAcentral is "partial small subunit ribosomal RNA". The record is from RNAcentral. Lineage: Eukaryota; Viridiplantae; Streptophyta; Magnoliopsida; Poales; Poaceae.